RNAcentral lists this ribosomal RNA (460 nucleotides) under uncultured bacterium. RNAcentral's name for it is "partial 16S ribosomal RNA". It matches the Rfam family "Bacterial small subunit ribosomal RNA", at positions 338 to 795 of the family's 1533-position model. The record is from RNAcentral.
CCUACGGGUGGCAGCAGUGAGGAAUAUUGGUCAAUGGCCGGAAGGCUGAACCAGCCAAGUCGCGUGAAGGAAGAAGGAUCUAUGGUUUGUAAACUUCUUUUAUAGGGGAAUAAAGGUAUCCACGUGUGGAUAUUUGCAUGUACCCUAUGAAUAAGCAUCGGCUAACUCCGUGCCAGCAGCCGCGGUAAUACGGAGGAUGCGAGCGUUAUCCGGAUUUAUUGGGUUUAAAGGGUGCGUAGGCGGUUGUUUACGUCAGCGGUGAAAGUUGGUGGCUCAACCAUCGGAUUGCCGUUGAAACUGGAAGACUUGAGUGUGUUUGAGGUAGGCGGAAUGCGUGGUGUAGCGGUGAAAUGCAUAGAUAUCACGCAGAACUCCGAUUGCGAAGGCAGCUUACUGGGCCAUAACUGACACUGAGGCACGAAAGCGUGGGGAUCAAACAGGAUUAGAUACCCCGGUAGUC